AUUUAUCAUUUUAAAGGUUUUCAAUCGAGUAGAGUUAGGGUAUAAUGUGAGUGAGAGAACGGCGGUACGGCGGAAAUUGCGAGACGAACACUUUUGAGGUUUAGAACUGGUUUUCGAGUGUCAGUGAGGGGUACUGAGAGAGCGAGUGCAAUGUGGCCAGAGAAUGGGAAUUUAGAGGUAGAGAAUGAGCGUCGGGAUGGAGAAUGAGAGAUACGCCGUGGUAGGAAGGUCAAAACAGGUAUGGGGAGCUAUGUUCUAUGGCUGUUUAAGUAUUUUACUUGUGUUCUAUUUUUGGUUUGGGAUUGUAUGGUUGUGAUGAUAGUGAGUUGAAUUGGAUGUUUCUAUAAUUCUGAAGUAUUUGUAAAAGGGUAUGGUGUGAUUGUUGUUUGUCCAGUAUUGUUGAUCUCAAACAGAAAAUGUUAAACUCUGGAACCGUUGGUUGUCUCUAAAGUAAUGUUAAUCUGUGAAAUGUUGAGUAUUGGUCUAAAACAAUAGGUAGUCUAAAUGGAGUAACUUGUGAUUGCGUAAUUACUUGGCAGACUUUGAAAUUAUGUGAGAUUCGGGAACAUUGUAUUGUUUGGAAUAUUUUAUUUUAAAUUGAAAAUGAACUUAUAAGCAAAGAAAUGUUUAUUAUAUCAAUCAAUGCUCGGGUUGGAUAUUUUUAUAAUGUGAUUGUGCUUUCCGUGUUUGAGCAUGGUUGAUAUGCAUUUACAAACGACUGGGCAUGUGUUUAGAGUUAAAUUAAAUUAUGAAUGGCUGUAUGAACUGAAUUGAGUUAAACUGAAACCUUAUUAGGCAGUUCAGAAACUUGAUAAUGUAGUGAUCACAUCGUUCUUGUUCUGUUUUACUCGCCUGUUAAUCAAUUAAAGGAAACAGAUCUGUUUUGGGGUAGUAGGCGAAAGCUGAAUGAAGUUUUAUAAUGAGAUAUUAGGGGCUGGUGGGUUAUAAUAGGUUGAGAGUAACUGGGCAUUAGACGUUGACGUGCCAAGUUGGUUGGACAUGCUACUUGUUACAUGAUACUCAUAUAUGACUGGAUGAUUUGAUUACUUGCGUUUUCUGGAAUGAAUUUGAGUAAUAGUAAGUUUAUCAGUGAUUACUAGGUGAGACUUUGAUGGAAAAAUGGUUUUAAGCUAAGGCCAGGUUAUGCUAUACGUAUAUACUGUUGAAUGAAUGCACUGAUCUUGCCAUUUGAAACUAAUCAGUAAGACAUGAUUAAUUGGUAAAUGUGCAUGUUCUAAUCAUCCUGAAAGGAAAAUAUGGUUGAACUAAAUAGGAUAGUUUGGUAAUCUGAUUGUGAAGAAUGGAAAACUGAAUGUAUAAGGUCCGUUUACGAAUGGUUAAUUAUGUAUGGAGAAUGUCUCUCUGUGAAUGUUUGCCAAUCACGUAUUGGAUGCCAGGUUGCAACUGAACACUGUAGGGUGUAUUUGAGCAUGGGUAGAAUGUGUAAUUCUGCCUUAGGAGCAGAUUGAUAAAGGGUGGAGACGUUAAUUUGAUUGAGUACCUUGCAUCAGUUUAAAUGAUGUUUUAAAGUGGAUGAAUGCAUAACUGACAAUGUGUAAUAUGUAAAGUGGUUGUGGUGGGCGUGAAUGUUAUUUACGUGCAGAUCUCAGUGUGUUUGAUGAUGUAAUGCAGAUUUAUGACGGGUGUGUUAUGAUGAACUUGUUUUGGUAUUGCAAGAGUUUGCAACAUCACGUAUGGGGAUGAUGGUUAUGAACCUUACCUUAAAUUGUGACUGUGAUACUAUGCUCUGGGUUUUGGUAAAGUAUUGUAAACUGUUAAAUGUGAUAUGUGGCUGGUUGUAGAUAUUGCAAAGGUUGUACAUGUUUUAGGUUAUGUUCAAGUGAUCUAAAUUAGUCAUAUUGUAUUAUAAAUGAUCAUAGAAGUGUUAGAUUGAUUUGUGUAGUUUAUUGAUUGGUUUAAUAUGUUGCUGUGUUGUCUAUUCAAAUGGUCGUCUUUAGUAUGUAUUGGGAUUUUAAAAAAGAAUUGUAAUUUUAAUGUAUUGGGUUUCAAACAAUUUUGUAAUUGUGUACAUUUGGAUUUUCCUAUUGAGUUUUUUAAAUAUUAAAUAAUACUGGUUUAUUGUAUAAUUAAAAUCAAUUUAUUAUAGAAAUCAUUCUUGGGUUUUCGAAAUUGUUAAGGUUAAGUGACUUCUAAAUUUGGAGCGUUACAUUUGGUAUUAGAGUUAGGUUUUUGAAAAAAAAUUUGGACCGUGAGGAGUGAGUUCGUCUAGUUUCUAAUGAGCACUCUAAUUGUUGUAGAGUUUUAGGUUGUGAAUGAUUGAUUGAGAUGUAAUUGAUUGUUUAUGUAGUUGGUUCCAUACUUGACAUGAAUUUUGACCUUGAAAUUCCUUGAGUCUUUUGGAAUGUGAGUAUCAUGUGACUUGGGCCAUGCAUAAAGUUGAAUUUCCAUAUACAUAUUUGUCAUGAACCUGCUAAGGCUGGAUGGAUUAGUUAGUUGGAUGAGUUGAGUAUCGGGAGCUGACUUGUAUUUGGUUGUUUAGAUGCUUUGAAAUCUGCGUUCUUGUUUGUUCCUGAUUCGUAAUUAUGGUAUUGUUAGUACAUCGUAUGCAUAUUCAGUUGAUAAAGUGUGUGUCAUAUCAUUGAUUCUAAUUCUAUAAUGUUUGACGCCUUUAAGUUUUGUAAAGAUGACAAUUGAUUUGAAUUUGAGUUCUGGAAUUUGGAAGUACAUACUGUAUUCUGUUUCAAUUGUUAAACAAUGUGGAUUCUGGUUACGUGUUUUGAAAUUACUUCCUGGCUGAUAGCUUAUGUGGCCAUCUGAAUUUAAUAUCCUGCCAUGCUGGAUUUACUCUGUUUCUAUUGAUGUGUGUAGUAGAUAUGGACAAAUUCGUGAUAUAUGUAUAUGUUCUAUUUUGAGAAAAGAGAACUUUGAGUGUUAGAAUGGGAUGUAGAUGGUUAAACUUGGUGGACUGUGAUACGUAAUAUAUGGUGUACUUGAGUGGAUGGUUUGGUUCUUUUAAGCUGUAACAUAGUUUUCUUAAGAACUCAGAAAUUGUCAUGAAUGCUGUUAUGUGAUACAUUGACUGAAGAAUGCUUGACGUAUGCUUUAACUGGUUUGAAUUCAAAGCUCCUUGAAACUGUGAUAGUCUAGGUUCUAUAUUAAUAUAAGGGUCUUUUAUGCACAUGUCACAAAAAAGUCAGAAUUUGACCGUCUAGUUGGGGCGGACUAUUUGAACUAAACCAAAAUUGAAUGAAGAACUGCAUGUUACAAAAUGUUGUGGGUAGAAUGGAAUAAGGAGUUAUAUAAUGUUCUGAUAUGGGGGUAAGCUUUGCAUGAGAUGUAGGUAUGUAGAACAGGAUAUUGAAAUCUGAAUGAACUUAGUAUUUGACCCUAAAUCCUAAAAUGGUAUAAUACAAUUGUUAAUGACUCUCUCGGAAAUUGUUUUGACCUUGGUAUGGAAAUCUGAUUUUAUUUCUGAAAACAGAUUGCUUUGAAAUGUUAUAAUGUAUGCGUAAUAUGCUUGAUAAGAUUGUAUAUUGAGUGUAUGCAGUCAUUAUGGUGAAAUGCUAGUAAUUCUCUAUGUCCUGUAAUUAGCUGGGAUGAUUCUGGUGAAAUAAAGGGAUUAUUAGCUGAAUAACAGAUAUGCUAUAGUUGCCAUUUCAUGUGAGUAUAAGCUGUUUUCCAUAACCAUGAGGCAGAAAAACUGGCGGUGAUGUGUGGUUUUGAUAGAGAACUCUGCACUAGAGAACCUUGAAGUUUGACUUAAAUACUGCACCCAAAAUCCGUUUGUUUUGAACCCAAUAUCUUUCAUUAAAACGCUGCUGUUUUGCACUAGGCUUUUAGGCUCUUUUCUGCAUCAAAUAAGUGUUGUUCUGCAUUGUUGGCUGGCUGUUUAAGCAUUGUAUUAUUGUUGUUUUUACACUGUUUUAAUUACUGUUUCUGGACUAGAAAGUCUUGCUGUUUGGAUUAAAAUUUCUGCACCAAAACAUUGCUGUUUUGGUUAAAUUGCUGCAGGGAAUUCUUUGCUGUUUAGAAUAAAAAUCUGUAGAAACUAGGUGCUGUUUUAGAAUAAGUAUCUGCAGAACAUUGGUGCGGUUUUAGAAUAUAAAUCUGCAGAAAAUUGGUGCUGUUUUAGAAAGAACUCUGCUGAAAAUUUUUUGCUGUAUAAGAUGGCUUUGGAUUCAUGUCUGUUUAAUAUUAGGAAAAGAGUAUAAUAUAUUUCAAAUAGAAGUAGGCUUAACUCUGGAACAAUAAUCUGAUUUAUGUUGUUCAAAACCUUUAUGCAUACUAGUGUGUGACUUAUGGAUGUCCGAAUUAUAAUUGGCAUUAUUUCAGCAAAAAUAUGAUUGAAUGUGUUAUGGUAUACGUGUUGGAUGAUGGAAUACUGUCUUGGUUUGCCUUGACAAAUUUUCUUUGAGUAUCAAUGGGUAUACUAAAAAAUUUGCAUUACAACAUACUAAAACAACACAUUAAAACACAACGCCACUGUUAGAUGGUAGAACUGAAAGUGAUUACAAAUUGGAAAUGCAAAACCAAAGUACAAAGAUUGAAUAUUGAAAAGCUAUAUGUUCCUUCGACACAAAGGACAAGUGUGAUUGAUGUCGAGCCAUUUUUUGAUGCAGUGGUGAUGAAAGAUAUGAGAACAUGGGUGGGGUAUGCGAAUUGCUCUUGAUCCAAUUGCAAUUUCCUCAAGACAUAUACUGCAGGAAUCUUCUGUUUUUUCUUCAAUUAUAAACUUUUCAAGAUUUUUCAAAGAAUUAUAGUUGUUUUGCACGGAAUCAAAGAUCAAAACAUUAUCUUGGUUUGAUCUUAAACUUCUAUUGUUAUUGUUUUGCAUGUUGCUGCCACCCAAGCUCAUGGAAUCAAAGAUAUAAACUUCACCAUCUUCUUCACCUGAUCUUAAAUUUCCACUAUGGGCGAUAUUGCGGUGAUCCUGAAUCACAAAUUCGAUGAUAAAGCCAUCAUCUUCAAUUGACCACUGCAUUGUCAUUCCUGUUACACAAAAAAGAUAGGAGAAAUCAAAACUUGAAAGAUCGAAUGGGGUAGUUUAUUAAGAAAAGAGUACACAAAAUCAUUUGAAAAAUCUAAUAACUUGUUUGAUGUAGGAGAGUUCCUCACUUUGAGAUCACCUUAUACUAUAGAGUUAACUUUUGUUUUGAGAGUUUGAAGCUUUUCUUUCUUUUUUCUCACAAUGAAAUGAAUGACUCAUGGAAGGUAGUAUAUAUAAUAAAAUUUAAUGAAAUAUAAUAAAUUAAAAGAUACAAUCUUGACAACUAUAGUCAUAUACAAAUUAACGUAAUUAAAUAAUAUAUUAUUAAAUUACAUUUAAGUUGGUUUCAUGUAUAGUCAUUAUUCAAAGUCAAAUCAUAAUAGAUAUAGUAAAUUGAAAAUGAUAUUAGUUAGUUAGAUAUUAAUUGGACUCUGAGUAAUGUAUCUUGAUUAUAAUUUUACAUUUAAAGUAUAAAAAAGGAAACAUUAAUAAUAGAAAAAUACAACCUUAUCUAUAUUUAAUUUGAUUAUCAUAUACAAAUUAUAGUAAUUAAGUAGUAUAUUAUUAAAUUGCAUUUAAGUUGGUUUCAUUAUUCAAAAUCAAAUCAAAAUAGUUAGACUAAGAAUUAAAAGAUAUUAGUUAAUUACAUAUUAAUUAGGCUCUAAGUAAUGUAUCUUGAUUAUAAUUUUACAUUUAAAAUAUAAAAAAAAGGAAACUUUAAAAAUAGAAAAAGUAAUCUUAUAUAUAUUUAAUGUUGGCUGGCUGUUUCGGCGUGUUGUAUUAUUGCUGUUUUUACAUUGUUUUUAUUACUGUUUAUGGACUAGAAAGUCUUGCUGAUUGGAUUACAAUUUCUGCACUAAAAGAUUUUUGUUUUGAUUAAAUUGCUGCAGGGAAUUCUUUGCUGUUUAGAAUAAAGAUCUGCGGAAACUUGGUGCUGUUUUAGAAUAAAUAUCUGCUGAAAAUUGGUGCUGCUUUAGAAAAUAAAUCUGCAGAAAAUUAGUGCUGUCUUAGAAAAAACUCUGCUGAAAAUUUUUUGUUGUAUGAGAUGGCUUUGGAUUCAUGUUUGUUUGAUAUCAGGAACAUUAGGGCAUGACAAAAACAACCGAUCUUAACUGUAUUAAAACUGAACUUACAUAAGUGUAAUUGUCAUCCACUUUUUUCUAA
This 6112-nucleotide long non-coding RNA is filed under the name Vigna radiata. RNAcentral's name for it is "long non-coding RNA (VRAD_LNC001057)". The record is from RNAcentral. Lineage: Eukaryota; Viridiplantae; Streptophyta; Magnoliopsida; Fabales; Fabaceae.